AACAGCGUGGGGAGGGCGGGCCUGGCUGCUCAUUGAGGACCACCUUAGGCUGCUCCCAUCCCUUGGCUAAAGAAAAUAAUUCUGACUCCACUCAGUUUUCUUUAACUGCUCAGUUAUCAUCUGAGAAAACCUCCCCUCUUUACAUUACAGUACCUAGAAGAAUAUUUGGAAUACCAAAGUUUUUUUUUGCAGUGAUUUCUUUUUAUCAUCGAAAUUCUCCACUACCGCUACAAAAAAUAAUCUAAAUUUGAAUCCAUCUGGUUUCAGGAUUGGAAAGCGACUCUCUAAGCAGAUCAAAUAUGUUUAUAAAAGUUCCAUUCUUCAUCUUCGUCCUCGGGAGCCUGCCUUUUGUAGCACUUGCUCAAGAAGCAAGCUCAGUUCUAGAAGGAGAAGAAAGUGCAACAAUUGAUUUCAGAGACAGAAAUGACACAGAAUUUGAAGAAUUACCAACAAUAUUUGGAGACCUGAAGACCACAGAAAGUACCUUAAUCAUGGAUGGAGAAAGUGAAAAUGCUACUGCCUAUGAAGUUAACACAGAAAGUGUUGGUGGUGGGGAGCGGAGUGGGGAACCAGAGACAACUGAGGAAGGUGGUCUGGGAACAAUUGCACUGCUUGGAAUAAUUAUUGGAAUCAUUGUUGCAGUUGGAAUCCUUGCAGGAAUAAUAAUUGCAGUUGUAAGGAAGAUGUCAGGCAGGCCCUAAACACUGUUGAAAAAAGCAUCCAUGCCAUUCCAUGCUGGAAAACACAAGUGCUUCUUAUUUCAUACAAACUAAAGACUGUUCCUGUAUUUGUGUGAGAAGAUGAUCCAUAGAAGAUAUAGUCAAAGAAUUUCAGAUCUGUGGGGAUACCACACAACUUUACACCCCUCCUUGCACAGAGCAUGGAACAUUUCAUAGGAUUUUUUACUAACCAGAAUUUUACUAGAAGAGAGAUUUUGCAGAAAAAAUAAAAAAAAAAAACUGGAGUAAAGGGAUGUACA
This 979-nucleotide long non-coding RNA is filed under the name Chloebia gouldiae (Gouldian finch). RNAcentral describes it as "Erythrura gouldiae (Gouldian finch) lncRNA (ENSEGOG00005014178.1)". Lineage: Eukaryota; Metazoa; Chordata; Aves; Passeriformes; Passeridae. The record is from RNAcentral.